UCGCUUUUACCUGUGGUCAACGGAGGGCAACUCGGACAACUAUUUUAUGGAUUCAUCUUACUACUCCCAGAAGUCCUGCAGUGGAGGGUGUACGUGUGAUCCGGAGUUGAAGGGGUGCUCGCAGUCAACUGUAAAUGUUCGCAAUUACGGAGUAGAGAAGUUGACCACAAACUCUUUCAGUUCUGGAAACCAAGAAAUAAACCUCAUCAAAAUGUCAUCUCUGAAGGUAAUUGAAGAAGAAAGCUUUUUCUCCGCAACAAGCUUAUAUAAAC
Molecule: long non-coding RNA, 272 nt
Organism: Gigantopelta aegis
Lineage: Eukaryota; Metazoa; Mollusca; Gastropoda; Neomphalida; Peltospiridae
Exons: 3
Source: RefSeq, a predicted model, not a curated record